Molecule: long non-coding RNA, 417 nt
Organism: Dreissena polymorpha
Lineage: Eukaryota; Metazoa; Mollusca; Bivalvia; Myida; Dreissenidae
Exons: 3
Source: RefSeq, a predicted model, not a curated record
GAGCGUAGAGUAACAAUACGAUGUUGAAAUUUACUGUCAAAGUUGGAUAGAUUUGCGCUGAUUAACAAUGGAACAAACUGCUAUUGAUUGACAUGGAGGAUUUCUAAAUUAAGGAGUUGAUAUUCCGCAUCAGGUGAACAGAUACUUCAUGAAUUAUAUGAAUCACCAGGGAAAGGACCCAACUACUUGCACAGAUGCAUCCUGGCGGGUGAAAGAAGGGAUGAUCACUUUGGCAACAGAUUGUUCAACUGCUUAAAUGUUGAUGUGGACUCAGUCAAAGAAUUUGCUGUAACUGUGUAUGUCUCUUCACUAUGUGGACAUAAAGUGCUACAGCUGGUUGGAUAUUAAGAUCACAAUGUACUGUUUUAAUGGAGAACAUCUGUGAAUAUUUAUUUUAACAAUGGAAAUUCAAACCUG